RNAcentral lists this transfer RNA (75 nucleotides) under Fidelibacterota bacterium. Its description in RNAcentral is "Candidatus Marinimicrobia bacterium tRNA-Arg". It matches the Rfam family "tRNA". Rfam says of the family: Transfer RNA (tRNA) molecules are approximately 80 nucleotides in length. Lineage: Bacteria; Pseudomonadati; Fidelibacterota. The record is from RNAcentral.
GCGCCCGUAGCUCAAUUGGAUAGAGCGUCUGGCUACGGACCAGAAGGUUGUGGGUUCAAGUCCUUCCGGGCGUAC